Molecule: ribosomal RNA, 468 nt
Filed under: uncultured bacterium
Lineage: Bacteria
Description: partial 16S ribosomal RNA
Rfam family: Bacterial small subunit ribosomal RNA
Source: RNAcentral
GACGAACGCUGGCGGCGUGCUUAACACAUGCAAGUCGAACGGAAAGGCCCUGCUUUUGUGGGGUGCUCGAGUGGCGAACGGGUGAGUAACACGUGAGUAACCUGCCCUUGACUUUGGGAUAACUUCAGGAAACUGGGGCUAAUACCGGAUAGGAGCUCCUGCUGCAUGGUGGGGGUUGGAAAGUUUCGGCGGUUGGGGAUGGACUCGCGGGUUAUCAGCUUGUUGGUGGGGUAGUGGCUUACCAAGGCUUUGACGGGUAGCCGGCCUGAGAGGGGGAACGGCCACAUUGGGACUGAGAUACGGCCCAGACUCCUACGGGAGGCAGCAGUGGGGAAUAUUGCACAAUGGGCGGAAGCCUGAUGCAGCAACGCCGCGUGCGGGAUGACGGCCUUCGGGUUGUAAACCGCUUUCGCCUGUGACGAAGCGUGAGUGACGGUAAUGGGUAAAGAAGCACCGGCUAACUACGUG